Long non-coding RNA from Chiroxiphia lanceolata (lance-tailed manakin), 509 nucleotides. RefSeq lists it as uncharacterized. The record is from RefSeq and is a predicted model, not a curated record. NCBI's taxonomy places the organism in Eukaryota, Metazoa, Chordata, Aves, Passeriformes, Pipridae. The transcript has 4 exons.
AGGUGGGCUGUGAAUCUGGUGGGUCUCUGACAAUUAUUCCUUGUGGUGUGGAAGCUUCAUUCCUGUCACACAUCUCCAAAGGGCUCUGCUGGAGUCUCCUGGGCUUUUCCUUGUGAGUGAAGACCUCAAGGAACCUCAAGAGGUUCUACCAGCAACCUCUUUUGGUGAACGAGCACAUGCUGGUCACCACCAACUUCUUCCCCAUCCCCAUCAGGAAAUUGAUGGGAGACUGACGUGAGGCUGGAAACUUCACAGGACGCUCCCUGAGUUGCCUCCUCCAUCGUGCCACAAGGAUUGUUGAAACAGAACUGAAUGAAACUUCACGUCCCAGGUAAUUUCCUAAUGACUAUCUGAGAGGAGCACAGCAGAUAGAACAGCACAAUCUCCAAGAGGGCUGCUCCAGAGACCUUGCACAUCCCAGGCAUGACAAGAAGAUCAGGCAUGUUGAAACCCUCAAAUUUGUGACCAGCAAGAUACGAUUCAGCAAGAACAUUACAGGACGUUUUAGG